This 583-nucleotide ribosomal RNA is filed under the name Pelistega sp. RNAcentral describes it as "bacterial SSU rRNA". Lineage: Bacteria; Pseudomonadati; Pseudomonadota; Betaproteobacteria; Burkholderiales; Alcaligenaceae. The record is from RNAcentral.
AGUAAUGUAUCGGAACGUGCCCAGUAGCGGGGGAUAACUACGCGAAAGCGUAGCUAAUACCGCAUACGCCCUACGGGGGAAAGGGGGGGAUCGCAAGACCUCUCACUAUUGGAGCGGCCGAUAUCGGAUUAGCUAGUUGGUGGGGUAAAGGCCUACCAAGGCGACGAUCCGUAGCUGGUUUGAGAGGACGACCAGCCACACUGGGACUGAGACACGGCCCARACUCCUACGGGAGGCAGCAGUGGGGAAUUUUGGACAAUGGGGGGAACCCUGAUCCAGCCAUCCCGCGUGUGCGAUGAAGGCCUUCGGGUUGUAAAGCACUUUUGUCAGGGAAGAAAAGCGCAGAGUUAAUACCUUUGCGUGAUGACGGUACCUGAAGAAUAAGCACCGGCUAACUACGUGCCAGCAGCCGCGGUAAUACGUAGGGUGCAAGCGUUAAUCGGAAUUACUGGGCGUAAAGCGUGCGCAGGCGGUUCGGAAAGAAAGAUGUGAAAUCCCAGGGCUCAACCUUGGAACGGCAUUUUUAACUCCCGAACUAGAGUAUGUCAGAGGGGGGUAGAAUUCCACGUGUAGCAGUGAAAUG